This 484-nucleotide ribosomal RNA is filed under the name uncultured bacterium. RNAcentral describes it as "partial 16S ribosomal RNA". It matches the Rfam family "Bacterial small subunit ribosomal RNA", at positions 30 to 507 of the family's 1533-position model. The record is from RNAcentral.
AUUGAACGCUGGCGGCAGGCCUAACACAUGCAAGUCGAGCGGAUGAAGGGAGCUUGCUCCUGGAUUCAGCGGCGGACGGGUGAGUAAUGCCUAGGAAUCUGCCUGGUAGUGGGGGAUAACGUCCGGAAACGGGCGCUAAUACCGCAUACGUCCUGAGGGAGAAAGUGGGGGAUCCUCGGACCUCACGCUAUCAGAUGAGCCUAGGUCGGAUUAGCUAGUUGGUGGGGUAAAGGCCUACCAAGGCGACGAUCCGUAACUGGUCUGAGAGGAUGAUCAGUCACACUGGAACUGAGACACGGUCCAGACUCCUACGGGAGGCAGCAGUGGGGAAUAUUGGACAAUGGGCGAAAGCCUGAUCCAGCCAUGCCGCGUGUGUGAAGAAGGUCUUCGGAUUGUAAAGCACUUUAAGUUGGGAAGAAGGGCAGUAAGUUAAUACCUUGCUGUUUUGACGUUACCAACAGAAUAAGCACCGGCUAACUUCGUG